CUCCUGGUAGCUUAGUUGGUUUAAAGCACAAGACUGUAAUUUUAACAAGAUAUCUUGGGAUCGGGUGUUCGAAUCACCCCCGGGAGA
Molecule: non-coding RNA, 87 nt
Organism: Hanseniaspora uvarum DSM 2768
Lineage: Eukaryota; Fungi; Ascomycota; Saccharomycetes; Saccharomycodales; Saccharomycodaceae
Source: Rfam